UACGUAGGAGACGAGCGUUGUCCGGAUUUAUUGGGCGUAAAGAGCGUGUAGGCGGCCAGGUAGGUCAGCUGUGAAAACUCGAGGCUCAACCUCGAGACGCCGGUUGAAACCAUCUGGCUAGAGUCCGGAAGAGGAGAGUGGAAUUCCUGGUGUAGCGGUGAAAUGCGCAGAUAUCAGGAAGAACACCCGUGGCUAAGGCGGCUCUCUAGUACGGUACUGACGCUGAGACGCGAAAGCGUGGGGAGCGAACAGG
This 253-nucleotide ribosomal RNA is filed under the name uncultured bacterium. RNAcentral's name for it is "partial 16S ribosomal RNA". It matches the Rfam family "Bacterial small subunit ribosomal RNA", at positions 524 to 776 of the family's 1533-position model. The record is from RNAcentral.